GCUGGGAUGUGAUGGGGAGCGAAAUUUAGUAGCGAAGUAGCUGAUUUCACACUGUCAAGAAAAGUCUCUAUCGAGGUUAAAGGUACCCGUACCGCAAACCGACACAGGUGGGUGAGGAGAGUAUCCUAAGGCCAGCGAGAGAACUGUUGUUAAGGAACUCGGCAAAAUGACCCCGUAACUUAGGGAUAAGGGGUGCCACCAUCCGGUGGCCGCAGAGAAUAGGCCCAAGCGACUGUUUACCAAAAACAUAGGUUUCUGCUAAGUCGCAAGACGAUGUAUAGGAGCUGACGCCUGCCCGGUGCUGGAAGGUUAAGGGGAUCUGUUAGAGCAAUCGAAGCAGUGAACUUAAGCCCCAGUAAACGGCGGCCGUAACUAUAACGGUCCUAAGGUAGCGAAAUUCCUUGUCGGGUAAGUUCCGACCCGCACGAAAGGCGUAACGAUUUGGGCACUGUCUCAACAACAGACUCGGUGAAAUUGUAAUUCCGGUGAAGAUGCCGGAUACCUGCGACAGGACGGAAAGACCCCAUGGAGCUUUACUGUAGCUUGACAUUGGGUCUUGGUACUACAUGUACAGGAUAGGUGGGAGGCUUUGAAACCAGGACGCCAGUUUUGGCGGAGCCAUCCUUGGGAUACCACCCUUGUAGUACUGGGACUCUAACCAUAGGCCAUGAAUCUGGUCUUGGGACACUGUCAGGUGGGCAGUUUGACUGGGGCGGUCGCCUCCCAAAAGGUAACGGAGGCGCUCAAAGGUUCUCUCAGUACGGUCGGAAAUCGUACGUAGAGUGUAAAGGCAAAAGAGAGCUUGAUUGCAAGACAUACAGGUCGAGCAAGGAUGAAAAUCGGACUUAGUGAUCCGGUGGUUCUGCGUGGAAGGGCCAUCGCUCAACGGAUAAAAGCUACCCUGGGGAUAACAGGCUUAUCUCCCCCAAGAGUCCACAUCGACGGGGAGGUUUGGCACCUCGAUGUCGGCUCAUCACAUCCUGGGGCUGUAGUAGGUCCCAAGGGUUGGGCUGUUCGCCCAUUAAAGUGGUACGCGAGCUGGGUUCAGAACGUCGUGAGACAGUUCGGUCCCUAUCCGUCGCAGGCGUAGGAAAUUUGAGAAGACCUGUCCUUAGUACGAGAGGACCGGGAUGGACG
RNAcentral lists this ribosomal RNA (1137 nucleotides) under Clostridioides difficile. RNAcentral's name for it is "partial 23S ribosomal RNA". It matches the Rfam family "Bacterial large subunit ribosomal RNA", at positions 1555 to 2703 of the family's 2925-position model. The record is from RNAcentral. Lineage: Bacteria; Bacillati; Bacillota; Clostridia; Peptostreptococcales; Peptostreptococcaceae.